Molecule: long non-coding RNA, 6304 nt
Organism: Rattus norvegicus (Norway rat)
Lineage: Eukaryota; Metazoa; Chordata; Mammalia; Rodentia; Muridae
Source: RefSeq, a predicted model, not a curated record
UGUAGCUCACAGCCUCCUGAAACCCCAAGUCUAGGGAUCCCAUGCCCACACACACACACACACACACACACACACCCCACUUUAAAAAUGAGAAGCUGUCAGCUUUACUUUGUUUCUAAAGAUGGUUAGCCAGUGGUUAAUACGUAGGGAACAGCUUUCUCUACUGUCACAAACUCUAGGCAACUUACAUGAAGUAUGACUUCCAAUCGGGAAUCAGACACGCUACCUCUGCACCACGCAAUUGUAAAAUGUGCGCUGGCUCACAGUUCCUGGGGUUCUGUUCAUCCCUGGGGGAAGGCAGAGGGGAUGGAGAAAGAGUGUAUGAUGCAGGGCUGCUCACUUGGUGGCUGGGUCAGGAAACAGAGAGAACCAGAUCAGACCCAGUCCCCAGCUGUGCCCAGCCCACCUCAAGGGACCCAGGUUGCCCAGCCAAGUUCUAGCUCUUAAAAGCUACCCGACAUCCCCAAAUAGCGCCACCAGUUGGAGACCACAUGCUCAAACACAUGGGCGUGCGGGAAGGAGGCAUUUUGCAUUCAAACCAAAAUAGGAGUCAAAGUUUUCCAAAAUGAGAUUCAAAUGAGACUUUUUAAAAAAAAAAAAGAAUUAAAAAAAGCCUAAUAUAUGCACAUAUUGAAAUAUUACUCCUGAUCUUAUAAAUCUGUAAGAUUAUUAUGAACCGAUUAAAAACAAAUACAUUUACGUAAGUAAUUCCACCAUAUUUAAAGGAAAAACCCCCGACUCCUGUUGCAGUGCUUUCAGUGCUGCCUUUCAGGUCAUGUGACUCACAGGGACAGCAUACGAGCUGACUGACAAAUGAAAUAACUCAGCAAGCACAAGGUGUGGGUCGAUCUAUAAGACACAGUCUUAGGGGGUGGGCCACGCGAACUCCCAAUGGGAGAAGUUGUAGGGAAAGCCCACAUUUACAUGCGAAGAAGGAAUCUAGGAUACAAAUAAAAUGACCAGGAAACCAUUGAACCGCCCAAGCCUAUGAGAAGAGCAUCUGAAGGAAAGGAACAGGAGCCUGGGCCAGAGGCCAGUGGAAUCAUGGGUACUUUGGUCAGGCGUGAGCUGGAAAGUAUCGUUCUGGAAAAUGCAUCGAAGGAACUGAAGACGAUGAGGGGUGUGGUCUAAAGCCGUCUUUAGAUGGUGCCAUAAAAAUGAACAUUUGCUGAGGUGUAGCUCAGUGUGAGAGGAAUUGUCUCAUAUGAACAAGGCCAUGGGUUGGGUCACUCCCCAGCACCACAGACACAAACGUUCAUGGAGCUGAAUCAAGGCAGCAUGGCAACAUAUUAAAACGGCCUAUCGCUUGCCUAGGAAGUGCAAGGCCCUGGGUUCGGUCCCCAGCUCCGAAAAAAAGAACCAAAAACAAAACAAAACAAAACAAAACAAAACAAAACAAAACAAAACAAAACAAAACAAAACAAAAAAAAGGCCUAUCAUAGCCAGGGUAGGCCAGGGUAGGCCAGGGUAGGCCAGGGUAGGCCAGUAAAACCUUCCAGGAGAAGCACGCUGGGCUGUGGGAGGGGAUUCUCUACCUGGGAGCAUGAGUAAGUCCCUCUUUCCGUGCUGUGCAGGCCUCAGUCUGAGCUUUGCUCUUCCACAAGGUUGCACAAGUGAGGCCUAGAGGGUCACAAUGAGAGCCGUGACCCAUGUGCAGCCUCUGAUCCCGCCAUCACGGCUUUGUCAGUGACCUGAGAACCUCAAGAGCUUGCUCCGUGUGUGCACCUGUGCAUGGUUUCGACAGCUACAGAGGGCUCAUCCCUUUCAAUCUGUCCUUAACUUUUUUUGCUUCAGAACUUUUUGUUGUGCAUGUGGUGACAACAUGUGUUACUUAAUGAGCCAUUUUAAAGUGCACACAGCUAAGGGCAUGUAGUAUGUUCACCAUGGGUGUAGCCAGCAGCACUCUGGUUAUAUAACUUUUUUUUUUUUUGAAACAAAAGACCCAGCAUGAAUGACUUAAGAAGGAUUUAUUUUGGCUCCAGGAUUUGGUGGUUUCAGAUCAUAGUACUUGUCUCUGUUAAUGCUGGACCAUUACAAGACUGAAUAUCAUGUUAGCAAGAGUGUGUGGCAGAGGAGGACCAUCUAGUGAUAGAAAGGAAGAGAGAGAAAUAUCAGAUGGCCUGGACAAGAUACCCCAGGACCUACCUUCAGUGAUGUAUGCCUUCCUACUGGUUCUAGCCCCUACAGUUUCCAUAACCUCUCAAAUAGCACCGCCAAGUAGGGCCAACAUGCAAUAUCAGAGCCUGUGGUUUCAUAUUCAAAUUCCAGGGCUUCCCCUCUCUCCACCCUCUAUUUCCUUAUCCCGUCCUCUCCAGGUUUCUCCUGGCUGCCCUGGCUUCGAGCGUUGGUUUCCCAGCAGGUCCCUUGUCCAGAGAGAAGCUGUGUACCACAGACUCGCUUCUGUCAUCGGUCCAGCACACCUGGGCCUGGCGGUGGGCUGCAGGGCUGUAUUCUGUUCUGGAGGAAACUCAGCAGCAGUCUGCCUGACCUGUCCGGGAGCAGAAGUGGGUACACCACAGUGACAAGUGUCCCACAGAUGAUGUAGACACGACUCAAAGGAGUGCUUGAUACAAUAGCUCCUAAGGUUUUGUGUGUGUGUGCGCAUGCGUGCCCAUGUGCGUGCGAUCAACCCCUGUCUAUUCCGGCACCUGGGGACCUCUGUGACUACAGUUCGUAUUUUUGUGGAGAAAGCCACUGUUUUUGUGGAUUUCUGUCUGCCAGUACUAAGUGCUUUGCACAUGCCUUUUCAUCCAGUCCUCUGGAUGACCUGGGAGGCAGUGACUACCUCUGGGGUCACAACACUAACAGGAGAUGGGGUAUCACAGUGGCCUGACUUGCGGUGGGACUGGAGUUUAGAACUUCUGGUAUCUAGCCCCAUCUUCUCCAUGGUAAAGACCCCAUAUCCAUUCACACAGUAGGCGUGAGAGAUGUGACAUUUCCUCCUGAGGUACAGCAGAUGCUCCAAGGAGGAAGUGAAGAGAAGGUGGAGGAAACAGAACCGUUUUUGAAGGGAGUGCCCACAAUCCAGGAGCAUACUGGUUCUCUGAGGGAGCACAGGAGAGAAAAAAAAAAAAAAAAAACCCUGAAUUCUCUAGAAAUGAUUGUGCGUCAAAGAAAAACAGGUGCUAAAGUCUCCUGAGACCUCAACUGAGGGGCCAGGAAGUCAUGGUCUGCUAGUUUGUGAGUGUGUCUGGGCCUGUGUGGGGCCCAGGCUGGGCUACAUGGUGGGGUUUCUGUCUGCUUAGCAAUAGAUCCAGCCAAGAAAAGGCAUGGUUUUCAGAGGUCCCAUAGGGGCUCUAGUGCACCAGGGUUGAACCAUUUACUUCCUCGGUGGCUUAGAGUCAGACAGAGCCAAAACAAAUGGGCCUGGUUCAAACCAGUUCCUGUCAGCUCCUGGUCACUUCCUCAGUCCUGCAACUACUCUGGCUUGUGGCUGGUGUCUGUUUUGAUUGUUGGGUAUCUAUCUGUGCCUCUAUGUGGGGUGCCUUCGUGGGGGUAGGCAUUGAUGUAGCUGCAGCUGGUAGGAGGGCUUUAUGUGGGGGAAGCCUAGGGAAAUUCCCCGAGAGAGGACCAAUGACCUGAUUUGGGAUCAAGCCCUCUGCCUUCUGUUUCUGACUGUGGCAGGCUGGAAGUGGGGAGGCUUUCAAAGCAGAGAGGCUGUCAUCUUUUGGUGUGUUUCUAAGGAGAAAAUUGGGUUCCCAUGAUACUGUCUAGGCCUGAGGUCUAAACAACAAUAAAUAGAUAUUCAGGACCCAAGGUCUAAAAGUCUACUUAGGGGUGAGGAGAAACCUAGCCAGAGCCUCGCAUGCAAAAGGCAAAGCAAAAGGCUUUCUGUUAGACAGUGAGAUUCCCCUGCCUCCAAUCUGAGGGGAGGUACAUGCCCAAGGGACAUAUCAUAUGUACAGUUCUUCCUUUCCUGGGCUUGAAUUGUAUGGUGGGUCUGUAAAGUGCUUGCUCUACCUGGAGGUAUCCUGGAGCCCUCUUCUGACCAGUUCCUGCCUUCAUCCCAUCCUUCCAUCCACAUGUCCGUCUGUCCAUCUGUAUGUCUAUCUGUCCAUCCAUCUGUCUGUCUGUCCAUCCACCCAUCCCAUCCCUACAGAUAUACAUAUAUCAAUUAUGUAUGUAAACACACAUACACACAUACACACACCCCAUAUAACUUACAGGAGACAAGAUUUAUUUUAGCUCAUGGUUUUGGAGAUCUCAGCCCAUGUUGCUUGGCCCCAUCACUGUGGAUUUGUGGUGAGAUGAGGUAUCGUGGUAGAAAGAAAUAGAUAAGCAGAACAGCUCACCCCGUGGCAGCCAGGGCACACGGAGAGACAGAGGAAGGGCUAGAGACAAAACAUGCCCUUCAAAGGCACGCCCCUAGAGAUCUGCCUCCUUCCAUUAGGUCCUACCCCAGAGAGCUCCCACUCCUCCUAAAAGAGAGCUACCAGUUAGGGAAAAAACCUUCAACACUGAAACCUUUGAGCUUGCUACAUAAUAAAAACAUCAGCUUCACCCAUCCACCUGCCCAGAACGCGUGGUUCUGAGCUAGACUUUGGAAGCCAGAGGUAAUUUAAGAUGUAGCUCCUCUCCUUAGAACCUGAAUGGAAGGCAGAAGGCAGAACACCUGGCUUCAGUGGAGACUCGGGCAAAGCAGAUGGCUACAUGGUCAGCCUGGUGGAGAAGCUGGAGGUUAGUCCUGCUGUGAGGGCUCAGGAGUCCGUACAGAAGUGAUGGACACACACACAUGGUUUGAACAGGGUCUCCAAGGGAGAGCAAGGCAGACAGUAAAGGGGUGGUUGUUUUGAGUAGGAGGUCAGUAUGUGCAAAGGCACUGAGCCACCAUAGCUGAGGGAACAUCUGGAGGGAAGAUCCCACCAGUGAGCAUGAGAAGGAAGGAUGCUGCUGAGAGACAGGUGGUACCUAAGAGAGGCAGCCUUCCAUGUGUACAGUGAGAUGGAGACAUCUCCCACAGCUACUGAGUGUCCAUGAGUGUCUGCCUCGUGGGCCACACAUCCUAGGCCCUGCCAGGCUGUCCCUCUCAGCCACCCAUCUGGUGCUGCCCUCCUUACCUGCCUUCUCCAACAGGGUCAUGUGAUAUUGAUGACUAGGGAGAGAGAAGGGGAUGGCUGCUGGGAGAGACCUGUGAGAGCUGACCCUGGUGGGCGCUGGCCUGGGCCUGGGGAUAAGUGAAAUUCCUGAGCAGACUUGGCUUGCCCAGAAAGGGAUGGGCCUGACUCAUCUCUGUUAUCCUCACAGGGGCACCCCAGACAGGAGCAAGUGAGUCCUUCCAAGCGCAUUCACUGCCCUGACUCCAAAGCCAAGGAGGAAGCCUCCAUUUUGUUUCCCUUGACGGGAAUGGAGUGGGUUUUCUUUCUCCUUCCAGCCUGCCCUGGUGAGCCCUCCUUGUCCCUGCUGCCCAGCUUCUUGGCACCGAGCCCCUGCAUCUUGUUAUCGCAGGCUUUGUGCUGUCUGUCACCUUUUAUUACAAAACCUUCUGAAAUUCUCCGAAUCGUCUCGCCGGUUAUCAUGCUCAACCACAGUGUGCUUGCAGGAGCCUCGGGCUGGAACCACAAGGCAGCCACAGUGCAUCGGGGACUUCUGUUCUGUGCCCAGGCAGGCCCCCUCCUUUCUCCUCCCCACUAGGCAAGUUUUGCCAAGCUUCCUUCUCCCUCCCCCCUCCCCCCUCCCCCCUCCUCUUCUUCUACUUCUUCCUCCCCUACUUCCUCCUCUUCUCCUUUUUUCUUCUCCCCUUUUCCCUUCUCUCCUUCUUUCCCCCUCCUCCUCUCCCCUUCUCCCCCUCCUCCUUCCCCCUUCUCUCCUCUCCUCCCUCCUCCUCCUUGAGUUAGACAGUGAAAGGAUUCAGAACACAUCCCUCUUGCUGGGGGUGGAUCUGCAGAAGCUCUGUGGGAGCUGUGGGGCUUGCAGGGGUGCUGGAGUUCUGAGAGGAGCAGAAAGCUGGGGGAAGGAAGAAGAGCAGUGCCCCAUCUUCAUCCAGGAGCAGGGCAGCAUCUGUGGACAGGGUGACCUUCGACGGGCUCUGCAGCUUCACUUCUGAAAUAUGAGGUGAACUAGAUGGCCCCUGUAGCCCUACCAGUUCUGAUGAUCCACACUGGGCUGCACUGCCAGGCAGGGCCAGCCUGGGCAAGAUUGCUGGAGACAAGCACACAGAAGUCCCAUGUACACAGAAAUGUCCUCACACACACUGAAGAAUAAUCCUAUUUGAAGCAGCCUCACUAUGAUGCUCUUCUUCCAGGGGCCAACUGCCUAGAAUGGAGUUCUGUUUUUGAGAACAGGAACACACAUCCUGGAUGCUGGG